Molecule: ribosomal RNA, 549 nt
Filed under: uncultured bacterium
Lineage: Bacteria
Description: bacterial SSU rRNA
Rfam family: Bacterial small subunit ribosomal RNA
Source: RNAcentral
AGGGAAUCUUCCGCAAUGGACGCAAGUCUGACGGAGCAACGCCGCGUGAGUGAAGAAGGAUUUCGGUUCGUAAAACUCUGUUGUUAGAGAAGAACAGCGCAUAGAGUAACUGUUAUGCGUGUGACGGUAUCUAACCAGAAAGCCACGGCUAACUACGUGCCAGCAGCCGCGGUAAUACGUAGGUGGCAAGCGUUGUCCGGAUUUAUUGGGCGUAAAGCGAGCGCAGGCGGUCAAUUAAGUCUGAUGUGAAAGCCCCCGGCUCAACCGGGGAGGGUCAUUGGAAACUGGUUGACUUGAGUGCAGAAGAGGAGAGUGGAAUUCCAUGUGUAGCGGUGAAAUGCGUAGAUAUAUGGAGGAACACCAGUGGCGAAGGCGACUCUCUGGUCUGUAACUGACGCUGAGGCUCGAAAGCGUGGGUAGCAAACAGGAUUAGAUACCCUGGUAGUCCACGCCGUAAACGAUGAGUGCUAAGUGUUGGAGGGUUUCCGCCCUUCAGUGCUGCAGUUAACGCAUUAAGCACUCCGCCUGGGGAGUACGACCGCAAGGUUG